This 72-nucleotide transfer RNA is filed under the name Camelus bactrianus (Bactrian camel). It matches the Rfam family "tRNA". From Rfam's summary of the family: Transfer RNA (tRNA) molecules are approximately 80 nucleotides in length. Lineage: Eukaryota; Metazoa; Chordata; Mammalia; Artiodactyla; Camelidae. The record is from Rfam by way of RNAcentral. RNAcentral also lists the same sequence under 1 other name.
GGGUAUAUAACUUAGUGGUAGAGCGUGUGCUUAGCAUGCACGAGGUCCUGGGUUCAAUCCCCAGUACCUCUG